Molecule: ribosomal RNA, 912 nt
Filed under: Leucobacter chromiiresistens
Lineage: Bacteria; Bacillati; Actinomycetota; Actinomycetes; Micrococcales; Microbacteriaceae
Description: bacterial SSU rRNA
Rfam family: Bacterial small subunit ribosomal RNA
Source: RNAcentral
GGCGGCGUGCUUAACACAUGCAAGUCGAACGCUGAAGCUCCCAGCUUGCUGGGGGUGGAUGAGUGGCGAACGGGUGAGUAACACGUGAGUAACCUGCCCCGAACUCUGGGAUAAGCGCUGGAAACGGCGUCUAAUACUGGAUAUGUCCUAUCACCGCAUGGUGUGUAGGUGGAAAGAAUUUCGGUUCGGGAUGGACUCGCGGCCUAUCAGCUAGAUGGUGAGGUAAUGGCUCACCAUGGCGACGACGGGUAGCCGGCCUGAGAGGGUGACCGGCCACACUGGGACUGAGACACGGCCCAGACUCCUACGGGAGGCAGCAGUGGGGAAUAUUGCACAAUGGGCGCAAGCCUGAUGCAGCAACGCCGCGUGAGGGAUGACGGCCUUCGGGUUGUAAACCUCUUUUAGUAGGGAAGAAGCGAAAGUGACGGUACCUGCAGAAAAAGCACCGGCUAACUACGUGCCAGCAGCCGCGGUAAUACGUAGGGUGCAAGCGUUGUCCGGAAUUAUUGGGCGUAAAGAGCUCGUAGGCGGCUUGUCGCGUCUGCUGUGAAAACCAGAGGCUCAACCUCUGGCCUGCAGUGGGUACGGGCAAGCUAGAGUGCGGUAGGGGAGAUUGGAAUUCCUGGUGUAGCGGUGGAAUGCGCAGAUAUCAGGAGGAACACCGAUGGCGAAGGCAGAUCUCUGGGCCGUAACUGACGCUGAGGAGCGAAAGCAUGGGGAGCGAACAGGAUUAGAUACCCUGGUAGUCCAUGCCGUAAACGUUGGGAACUAGAUGUAGGGCCUGUUCCACGGGUUCUGUGUCGUAGCUAACGCAUUAAGUUCCCCGCCUGGGGAGUACGGCCGCAAGGCUAAAACUCAAAGGAAUUGACGGGGGCCCGCACAAGCGGCGGAGCAUGCGGAUUAAUUCGAUGC